Molecule: ribosomal RNA, 465 nt
Filed under: uncultured bacterium
Lineage: Bacteria
Description: partial 16S ribosomal RNA
Rfam family: Bacterial small subunit ribosomal RNA
Source: RNAcentral
GACGAACGCUGGCGGCGUGCUUAACACAUGCAAGUCGUACGGUAAGGCCCUUUCGGGCUUUCCCGAGUGGCGGACGGGUGAGUAACACGGGAGUAACCAGCCCACAACUGUGUGAGGACGCUACGAAACUAGUGCUAAUACUGGAUAUAUGCUCCUUGCGCAUGGUGGGUGUUGGGAAGCUCCGGGGGUUGGGCAUGGACUAGCGGCCUAUCCGCCUGUUUGUGGGUGAGUGGCCUACCAAGCCAGCGAUGGGUAGCCGGCCUGAGGGGGUGACCGGCCGCCUUGGGACUGAGGUAAGGCCCAGACUCCUACGGGUGGACACAGGGGGGAAUAUUGCACCAUGGGGGCAAGCCUGAUGCAGAAACGCCGCGGGCGGGAUGGCCGGCUUUGGGUUGUAAAACGCUUUCAGGAGGGAAGAAGGUUUUUGUGACGGUACCUGCAGAAGAAGCACCGGCUAACUACGUG